CCAAACAAUGACCCCUGCUACGGGUAGUGUUCCAAGUGUUAUGAGACUUCAGCUAAUGAUGGGUCCAUCUGAAAUUAUUCGGUGCAGUGCCGUCGGUUGGUGGAGAAACGGACAGUAGUGGGCAGUAUCUCCGCCUGUCACGCGGAAGACCGGGGAUCGAUUCCCCGACGGGGAGAGCUGGUUCUUUUCGUUUUCCGAAUGAUCCAUCCAAAAUGUUUGGUUGGAGUCGCAGGUCACAGAAGGAGUUCUGCUUCGACGUCAGCCCGAGCCAAAGGACAUGCGUUGGCCGGGAAUCGAACCCGGGUCAACGGGUCGCGGGAGCCGAAAAUAGUUAAGCUUAACUUCUCUUAACUUUUCCCAUUCAUUCUCUAUGGUAGUGCUUAACACUACGGAUGUGAUAUAUUUGUGGCCACACGUAGAUUUCCCGGCGCUGUUUCGCCUCUUCCGUGGCGCGGAAUUCAAACAGCGGAUACUCAUCUGUCAAUCAUUCGCUCUGAAGGAGAGGAGACGCGUUUUACGAUCGGAGAUUUCUUCACGAAAUUGUUUUGUUUGAACAACAUACGCUGCCAAACUCCCAACAAGCAGGAAUGUUUAGAUGAUGCGUGCUCUGUCAAGACACCCUCCUCCACAGAGUAGGUCACCCUAAAGACGGUCUCACUCUCAGUCCACCAAAACAUCACACCAGACACUUUGUCAGUGGAGGAUCAAAGGUCAGAAGGGUUUCUUCCAGAUGCAGAACACCACACCAUUGGCCAUAAAAGCGUCCCUCGUUCAGCUCACACUGGACCCCUCAGAACAGCUGGUCUUCGUGUUGGACCAUAGAUGGACAGAUCUGUUGAGAAUUGCCCGUGAACAUCUCUUGGCAACGCACCAUAGGAGCAAGGAUCUUCUUAAACAGGUCAAAGGCUUUUUCUUUCUUCUUCUGUGUUUUCCACAACUUUAAAUUGUAUUAUUAUUAAUAUUAUUGUAGCUGUUGUUGUUUAAUCUACAAUUUUUAAUUAUUUAAUUGAUUUCCAUUUGUUAAAUAAAACAUCAGAAGUAUUGGCCUUGUUUACACUGUACUUUAGAGUGUUAAAUAAUUGUAUCGACUCUGUAUUGUUAUUUUAUCUUGCUCAGUUUUGUAAACAUGUUAGUUUACAAUGUUAGUUACGGCUAUUAUUAAACUCUGUAAAUAAAUAUUUUAUUUAAAAUACUCUACCAGUCAAAUGUUUUUCAGCAGUAAGAUUUGUAAUGUUUUUUGAGGAGUCUCUUCUGCUCACCAAGCCUGCCUUUAUUUUAUCCAAAAGUACAGCAAAAACAGUAGCAUUUUAAACAUUCUUACUAUACUUUAAAUCAGCUGCUUUCUAUUUCAAUUCAAUUCAAGUUUAUUUGUAUAGCAAUUUUUACAAUACAAAUCGU
Carassius auratus (goldfish) is the source of this 1398-nucleotide long non-coding RNA. RefSeq lists it as uncharacterized. Lineage: Eukaryota; Metazoa; Chordata; Actinopteri; Cypriniformes; Cyprinidae. The transcript is spliced from 3 exons. The record is from RefSeq and is a predicted model, not a curated record.